GGACUGGUAGCUCAGUUGGUAGAGCAACGGACUCUUAAUCCGUGGGUCCAGGGUUCGAGCCCCUGUCAGUCCA
Molecule: transfer RNA, 73 nt
Filed under: Aerococcus viridans
Lineage: Bacteria; Bacillati; Bacillota; Bacilli; Lactobacillales; Aerococcaceae
Also listed under: 3 other names
Description: tRNA-Lys
Rfam family: tRNA
About the family: Transfer RNA (tRNA) molecules are approximately 80 nucleotides in length.
Source: RNAcentral